RNAcentral lists this ribosomal RNA (355 nucleotides) under uncultured Francisella sp. RNAcentral describes it as "bacterial SSU rRNA". It matches the Rfam family "Bacterial small subunit ribosomal RNA", at positions 153 to 508 of the family's 1533-position model. Lineage: Bacteria; Pseudomonadati; Pseudomonadota; Gammaproteobacteria; Thiotrichales; Francisellaceae. The record is from RNAcentral.
AAAACGACUGUUAAUACCGCAUAAUAUCUGUGGAUUAAAGGCGGCGUUAGGCUGUCGCAGAUGGAUGAGCCUGCGUUGGAUUAGCUAGUUGGUGAGGUAAUGGCCUACCAAGGCUACGAUCCAUAGCUGAUUUGAGAGAAUGAUCAGCCACAGUUGGGACUGAGACAACCGGACCCAAACUCCGUACGGGAGGCAGCAGUGAGAAUAUGACAGUGGGGAACCCUGAUCCAGCAAUGCCAUGUGUGUGAAGAAGGCCUUAGGGUUGUAAAGCACUUUAGUUGGGGAAGAAAGCUUUAAGGUUAAUAACCUUGAGGAAGGACGUUACCCAAAGAAUAAGCACCGGCUAACUCCGUGC